CUUAAUCCUAGAGGGUACUAAGUAAGCAUAAUCUGAUGCCGUUUAAUUGGCGGAGAGUUGAAUGGACGAACGAGCGCAUAACUGUCUUGUUAAAAAUUAAAUUGAAUUAGACAUUCAAGUGAAGAGGCUUGAUUUAAUAGUUGGACGAGAAGACCCCGUGAAGCUUUACUAUAAGUUAAUUAAAUAUGUGUUUUAUAGUUCAUAACUAAUAAAUUUAAGAAUUUUUACAGGUUUUAUUAGUUAACUGGGUAGUUUAGGUGGGGCGCCUGUACUUUAAUAAAAACAAGGAAUUAGCAAUAGUGAAAAAAAAAUUAAACUGUGUAACUUAUUUGUUUAUACAGAGUCAUUUACGGUUAAUCGACCCUUAUUAUUACAAAAUAAGUUAAAGGAUAAUAGCUACUCCGGGGAUAACAGG
This 415-nucleotide ribosomal RNA is filed under the name Diphyes dispar. Its description in RNAcentral is "partial 16S ribosomal RNA". It matches the Rfam family "Bacterial large subunit ribosomal RNA", at positions 1935 to 2481 of the family's 2925-position model. Lineage: Eukaryota; Metazoa; Cnidaria; Hydrozoa; Siphonophorae; Diphyidae. The record is from RNAcentral.